Molecule: long non-coding RNA, 775 nt
Filed under: Musa acuminata (dwarf banana)
Lineage: Eukaryota; Viridiplantae; Streptophyta; Magnoliopsida; Zingiberales; Musaceae
Description: long non-coding RNA (MACU_LNC006186)
Source: RNAcentral
UCAGUUUGGAGCCAGUGUGUGCAAGAAACAAUUACAUAAAUAAUUAAUAAAUAACUAUUAUUCCAAGUUGUUCCAUGGAGUUUUGUAAAAAAAAUUAGGUUCUUGUUGUAAGAUCCCAUUUAGUAUGUUGUACUAUUUAGCUAGAAUGUUUUUCAGAAAAUAUAGGAUAUCAAAGGUGAAUAAUGUUAUAAAAAUUCAAAUCCUUAAAGUAUUAUAUAAUUGUGCAAUAUAUAACUGUUUGCAACUAAAAUGUCCAUAGUGUCAUACGAUUCAAAGUCUUCACCCUCACAUCUGGCUGCACUUUAUCCUACCCAUAUUUUGUGUUUUCCCAUUGUCUUUGUAGUAAUUUAAUCCAAAAAAUAAUGCCAAAGGGAUAAUUUGAUGUUAGCAUAACAUGAUGUGCAACACACAAUAUGCUUAAAUUGGUUACAUCACACCAAAACCUUGAUGUUUCUCAUUGCCUCUAUAUAAUUAAUUCACUAUAAAGUGUCUUAUAUGCAAUUUCUGAUGCUAUAAUGCACCAAAACCUUGAUGUUUCUCAUUGCCUAUAUAUAAUUAAUUCACUAUAAAGUGUAUUAUAUGCAAUUUCUGAUGCUAUAACGCACCUUACAUCGGAUAGGAAGGAAUAAGCAUGUGUGCAUUUAGCCUAGUUCUUAAAAAAAAUGAAGGAUAUUUGCUUGCAGUUAUCACUAGUUAAACAUGUUAUGGUACAUUUUCAUUGAUAUUAGCACUGUUCACAAACUGUUUUGUGUCGUUCAAUCAUUGCAUGUAGUAG